This 711-nucleotide ribosomal RNA is filed under the name uncultured bacterium. RNAcentral's name for it is "bacterial SSU rRNA". It matches the Rfam family "Bacterial small subunit ribosomal RNA", at positions 62 to 788 of the family's 1533-position model. The record is from RNAcentral.
UUUUAUUGAAGCUUCGGCGGAUAUAGCUGGUUUCUAGUCCUUAACGGGUGAGUAACGCGUGGGUAACCUGCCCUAUACAGGGGGAUAACAACCAGAAAUGGUUGCUAAUACCGCAUAAGCGCACAGGACCGCAUGGUCCGGUGUGAAAAACUCCGGUGGUAUAGGAUGGAUCCGCGUUGGAUUAGCCAGUUGGCAGGGUAACGGCCUACCAAAGCGACGAUCCAUAGCCGGCCUGAGAGGGUGAACGGCCACAUUGGGACUGAGACACGGCCCAGACUCCUACGGGAGGCAGCAGUGGGGAAUAUUGCACAAUGGGGGAAACCCUGAUGCAGCGACGCCGCGUGAAGGAAGAAGUAUCUCGGUAUGUAAACUUCUAUCAGCAGGGAAGAUAGUGACGGUACCUGACUAAGAAGCCCCGGCUAACUACGUGCCAGCAGCCGCGGUAAUACGUAGGGGGCAAGCGUUAUCCGGAUUUACUGGGUGUAAAGGGAGCGUAGACGGAUUAGCAAGUCUGAUGUGAAAGGCAGGGGCUCAACCCCUGGACUGCAUUGGAAACUGCCAGUCUUGAGUGCCGGAGAGGUAAGCGGAAUUCCUAGUGUAGCGGUGAAAUGCGUAGAUAUUAGGAGGAACACCAGUGGCGAAGGCGGCUUACUGGACGGCAACUGACGUUGAGGCUCGAAAGCGUGGGGAGCAAACAGGAUUAGAUACCCU